Molecule: long non-coding RNA, 4024 nt
Organism: Passer domesticus (house sparrow)
Lineage: Eukaryota; Metazoa; Chordata; Aves; Passeriformes; Passeridae
Exons: 4
Source: RefSeq, a predicted model, not a curated record
GACACUGGGUGGGAUUUAAAGUCCCUUCCAACCAAAACCAUUCUGUGAUACUGAAAUUAAAGACUGCACUUUAUAAACAGAGCUCCAACAGAGCACAGUGGACUAAUUCAUCCCAGUCUUGCCCAGGAAAGCAGAUUCCAGCAACUUUCAGUGUUCAUCUACACCUCAGUGCUGAGGUCCCAAAACCCUGCCUUCCCUUGGGGCAUGACACAGCAUUGAUCCCCUCCCAACAGGUACCCCAAGAUGAAACUAUGUGAUUAGAUACAGACUUUCCAGCACAAAUGACAGAAACAAUCUACAAAUAACCUGCUAAAUGCAAUAAUACUGAUCAAUUAAGUAUUAAAUAACCCUACUAAUUUAAUAACAUACUAAAGUAUUCUGAUGUUUUAUGUUCAGUUUGGAUAUCUUAAGGAAAUAUGAGAAAAGGUCACAGAUUCAAGAGUGACUUUUUAAGGGAGGAGGAAAAAUAUUCCUAUUAAAGGAGGCAAUGCAAAAUUGUGACAACUCCCAACCUAUCAGCACUUGAGAAGGGUGUUACCCUAAAAUGACACAGCUGGUUGGUUCUUCUCACAUUUCUUUAUCUCCAAAUACUUAAAAGGGGCUCCAAGGAUUUACUGUAAAAUCAAAACUUACAGGAGCAGAAAGGAACCUCUGCCAUCCACGCUUCAUUUGUCCCCUGUUCAUAGCCCUUAUAAUUGUUAUGAAUGGAAAUUACAUAUGAGAGCAUAUCUGACAGUCUUGCAUAUUUAAGGACCUUGUUACAUAGAGAAUACUCUCCUGUGCUGUAGUGGUGCUAUAAAUCUCCUUAAGGGGGAUUAUUUCAAUAUCAAUUGCAAUAACAGUGUCAAAAUCUGGCAGAUCAUUGGGAAAUUCUUUAAGAAAGAAAGAACUUAAAUUUUACCCCCAGCUAAGAAAUGUUUGGCAUGAGAGAUCCAGCUCCCGUUUGGUACUGAGUAAAGUAAUAACAUUUUGAAAUGUGUGAGGAGGAAAGGUUUCAAGACCAUACAAAUACUUAGGGGGAAAAAAAUAAUUAAAAACAUUACUUGAAUUAAAACAUUUUUUUACAAUUACAUGUUUUUAUUAGUUAUGUUUAUAAAUUCUAGUAUUCAUGACAUAUAUAUUUUAAGUAACGGGAACAUUAAGUAUAAAUGUAAUUGUUCAGAAACUAUUUUCAUUUGCAUCCACUAUUAACAGCCCGUGAUUGUCUGACUGCUUAAAAAAUUUCAAAGUAAUCUGAUAAGCACAGAUUUUUUUUUUCCAGAAAUGAAAAAAAAUAAUGAAUUGGACUGUGUUCAACAGUUAAUUAAAAGCAGUAUUUUCAUAGGUGUAACCUCAAACUAGGCAAAAUCUUCAAAAUGAAAAUAUGCUUUUACCUUGCAAUGUGAUUUGGGGAAAAAAAAUUAUAGCCGAAAAAAUUAGUUUAUAGUAGUCAUUGUCUUAACAGUAAAAAAAUUGUCAAAGAUUGUUAUAUGAGAGGUAAAAAAAAAAAAUCUUUUUUUGCCUUCUUAUCCUAAAUUUGACUUUCUUCCCUCUUCUUUCAUGUUGUGUUUUGCAAGGCUCUUUAAAAAGUGCUCCAGAAUCCAGGAUUCAGUGGGAAGUUCAUUUCUUGCUUCAGCAGCAAAUGCUCCAUAGCUGAAUCAUUGUGAAAAUCCCACUACACUUUCAUUAUAUACAGAACAAAUGGCAAGCAAAGCUGGAAGAGACUGCCAUAUCUUCUCUCUGCUCAAUAAGAAGCAGAAAACCAACUUACAGUGCUUGUGUGAACCAUUUAAAUUAACAGAGCAGACAUGUCCUGUGGGAUGUGUCACCUUGGGCUGCACUGUCAGGACAUCAGAAGCUACAAGCAAAACAUGUGAAUCAGGUGGGAAUUGUCUCUAGGAAUAUAUUACAAUAUAUUGCAAAGCAGAAAUAAUAAUAAAAAAAUUAAAGGAGAGCCAUAAAUUAUGUAAUGAUUUCCUCAAAAAUAGGUCUGUCAUCAAGUUAAUAAUGGAGGAAAUUGUGUGAUGGGACUCUGGAAACAUAACAGGGAAAGUCUGGGACAGGGAGCUGAGUUCCCAAGACCUUCACUGCUCUGAGGUGCCUAUGAAGAGGAAAUUCUGCCUUAAAAAACCAUCAAUGAAUCCCAAGGCCCCCAAAUACCCAAUAAAAACCUACUUAGGUAACCUAAAAAGUACCUCCAUGACAUUAAUUUAUUAGCGCAAUCUAAAUGAUUUCCAUGUAAGACAUAUUUAAGUUUUGUUGAAUGGUAAUACUGUGAGAAAACCUCUUUCCUUCCUGCUGGUUUGAAUGCAGAAAUGUGCCUGGACACCUGCAAAGGCAUGCCAAGGGGUCCUGCAGGCUGAAAAAAACCUCUGUUAUCCCUCCUGCAGCAGCUUCCAGCACAGGAACCUCGGUGCCUCAGCACUUCAGGGGUUUCAGGUGCCGUGGAAGUGUGUUACAGUUCAGGAUAACAAUCCCCAACACACGAUAUUAGCUGCAGGGGAAAAAAGGGGUUUGCACAGCAUGUGGAGAUCUCUCAUAAUUUCCAGGCUUUUCUCAGCUGCUUAUAUUCUUCCUAUUCCAGACGACUUUUCACACAUCUCAAAGCCAAAAUAAGCAAUGAUGGUUUUCUAACAUUUAAUACUUUUUUUUUUUUUAUGGGAACAAUACAGCUUAAAAUUUAAAACAUUUGUGAUGCUUUCUGCUUCUGAGAGGGAAGACCUGUGUUCUUCACUGGUGUUUUCACUCUCAGGUAGAGUAAAAACCAGCAACAAAUAGGGAAAAAUUAGGUCUCUGUUUGCUCCAAGGAUGGCAUUGUGAAUACCUUCUUUUAUAUGCAAGAAACAGAGAGAAUCUAAAGAUAAUCAAUGUAGGCUGCCCAUAGUUAAUCAACCCAAUGCACAUUAAAAAAAAAAAAAAUUACAGUGCAGGCCAAGUAGUUCUAAAUAAAUGUGGCAAAGAAUUGUAAGAAUGGCUGCUGAACUAAAGAAGCAAAAUAUUGUGGCAUCAUUAAUUAGGUUUGAUUGAAUUUUGGAAGUAUUCCUGAAGAAGCACGGUUGGAUCCUUGAACGUUGCUGUGGAAUGAACUCUUCUGCACAAUUAUUCUUGAAGACAGAGCGUAUAAAAGGAUAAAUAAUCCUUGUUUAGGGAUUGGGAAUUGAUGAUGCCUUGGAAUGCAGCAGAACUGAACUUAACAAGUUACAGUUGCAGGAAGAAUAUAUCUGAUGGUGAAAGCUUUAUCUGUUCCUCAGUUUUUCACACAGUGCCCCUCCCUAUUCUGAAUAAUUCAGAGGUUUUUAAGCUAUUUUUCUUAAUCUUGUUUUGCUGUAAACUUAUUUUCUGUAAAUCAUGGUUUCAGGGGAAAGGGGGAGAUAUUGACCACGCAAAAUAAAUGAGAAUAACUAUGAACCUAUAGGCAUUGUUUUGCUGGUGUAAAUCAGGUUUUAAAACAAGUAAAAGAAAGGCUUUCACAAUGCUAUGUGGGUUUAGAGCAGAUGGGGAUGUGUUACUCUUAUAUUAAUUAAUUAAAAGUAAAAUCACAAAAAUAUGAUUAAUUAAUUGAAUAAUUUAUUUAUAUAAUUUCUUAUUAUGUUAGUAUACAUAUAAUAUAAAUAAUAUUUAUUCUAUGUUGUGUAUAUGUCAUAAACGUACUCAAAUUUGCCCAGUGGAAACAAACAAUGAUUUUUCUACAUUGUUUGCUUGUAAUUUUGGUUUGAAUUUGCUUGAGUGCUCAGCACACACAUUUUAACACCAUAGCUUAGGAUCAUUUGUGUGUGGAUGAAGAGAUGACAAGAUACAGGCAUGUUAAGGGAGGCUAUCAGUCAAUUAUCAAUCAAUCAAUCAAUCAAUCAAUCAAUGUGCCUUUCCAAGAACAGCAGAGAUAAAAGACUGGAAAAUUGCAGGUGUUAGUAAAUACACAUUCUCUAAUAAUGGCAUUUCUUAGAUUUCUGCCUUUAAAAUACCAUAUAUCAUUUAGGUAAAAUGAGGUUUGUGUUCUUCAUUAUUCCAUCUAACUUCCAUUGUGUUGAAGGAAAAAAAAAUUGUG